This 530-nucleotide ribosomal RNA is filed under the name uncultured bacterium. Its description in RNAcentral is "bacterial SSU rRNA". It matches the Rfam family "Bacterial small subunit ribosomal RNA", at positions 8 to 518 of the family's 1533-position model. The record is from RNAcentral.
AGAGUUUGAUUCUGGCUCAGGAUGAACGCUGGCGGCGUGCCUAAUACAUGCAAGUCGAACGAGGUGGAUGGGAGCUUGCUCCUUGAUACCGAGUGGCGAACGGGUGAGUAACACGUAGGUAACCUGCCCUUAAGCUUGGGAUACCCAGAGGAAACUUUGGCUAAUACCGGAUAACAACAGAGGAGGCAUCUCCUUUGCUUGAAAGGCCCUUUACAGGGUCACUUAAGGAUGGACCUGCGGCGCAUUAGCUAGUUGGUGAGAUAAAAGCCCACCAAGGCGAGGAUGCGUAGCCGACCUGAGAGGGUGAUCGGCCACAUUGGAACUGAGACACGGUCCAAACUCCUACGGGAGGCAGCAGUAAGGAGUUUUCGGCAAUGGGGGAAACCCUGACCGAGCAACGCCGCCGUGAGUGAUGACGGCCCUAUGGGUUGUAAAGCUCUGUUGUAAGGGACGAACGAUCGUUUAGGAAAUGAAACGGUUCUGACGGUACCUUACCAGAAAGCCACGGCUAACUACGUGCCAGCCGCGGC